GCCGUCAUCUUCAUCGCCCCUCCAUCUCCUUCCCCACCCUUCUCCGCCGGUAGCAGGAAGAUGCUGCGGGAGCAACACCCUCGUCCUUGCGGAGUGCAGCGGUUGCCGCCGAGAUGGAAUCGCCGUCGUCCUCAGCGGAGAGGAGCGCGAGCCACUGCCAAGCGGCUCCAGAGAGACAUGCCGAGCCAAGGCCACCAGCUCCUCCCGCAGCUCCACAGGCAAAACAGGGGUCUGCCUGUUCACGACGCCCAGUCGCUCGAGCUCUGCCCCGACUGCUUCUGCUGAGAUGGAGACGAGCACGGCAUGUCGAGGUCCCAGAGGUGUGAUGACAGAACCAUUUCCCCAGCGUUCUCUAUCAAGCCAAAGCCUGCAUCUACUACCUUGAGAGCAACACCCAACCUUCUGCAACAAGGUUGAACUUAUAGGGCAGUUAGCCACAUUGUUCAUACCUCAGUAACUAUCAUCACCUCCUGCCCAGCUGUGUUGAGAUUGAAUACAGGUCGAUCGGGUCUUAUUGGUAAGCAGCGGCUUGCCUCGCUGCAUAUGGAUCAACAACUUACGACACCCAACUUCCAACCUUGGAUCUAAUGACUUGAUGACAAAUUGUUUGUUGUAGAACACUCCGGUACUGCAUUCUCACUUUGCACCACCGUGUCGGCCAAAGAGACAACCAAAUAUCGAAGCGCAUACAUUAUACUGUACCAGACAAUGCAAAGGUGUGAAGUUCCCUUGUGCUCAAUGGCAACACAGAGCUUCUAGGCCUGACUUGUCAUUCUUCCUGCAGCAUGAUUUGAGGUUCAAAUCUUCGAUUCACGUAAUAUACUCCUUAGUUAAGCGUACUGAUGGUGGUUUGGAUUAGAUCAGGUAGCUGUUGGCACCCAUGAGGCUUCCAGAACAAACUGAAUUUAAUGUGUUGUCUCUAGGUGACACAGUUUAUGCCAUGAGUGUAUCAAAAACAAACUAUGGGCAAUUGAUGUGGCUAGCAGAAGAUAGUAGG
Lolium rigidum is the source of this 997-nucleotide long non-coding RNA. RefSeq lists it as uncharacterized. The record is from RefSeq and is a predicted model, not a curated record. The transcript is spliced from 6 exons. Lineage: Eukaryota; Viridiplantae; Streptophyta; Magnoliopsida; Poales; Poaceae.